RNAcentral lists this ribosomal RNA (111 nucleotides) under uncultured bacterium. RNAcentral's name for it is "partial 16S ribosomal RNA". It matches the Rfam family "Bacterial small subunit ribosomal RNA", at positions 1373 to 1482 of the family's 1533-position model. The record is from RNAcentral.
UUCCGGUCUUGUACACACCGCCGUCACACCACGAAAGUCGGCAAUACCCGAAGCCGGUGGCCUAACCCGCAAGGGAGGGAGCCGUCGAAGGUAGGGUCGAUGAUUGGGGUG